Molecule: long non-coding RNA, 650 nt
Filed under: Salmo salar (Atlantic salmon)
Lineage: Eukaryota; Metazoa; Chordata; Actinopteri; Salmoniformes; Salmonidae
Description: lncRNA (ENSSSAG00000097670.1)
Source: RNAcentral
GUAGAUGUGUAUAGGGGACAGGGAUACUGGAGUGAUGGAGGUAGAUGUGUAUAGGGGACAGGGAUACUGGAGUGAUGGAGGUAGAUGUGUAUAGGGGGAAGGGGACAGGGAUACUGGAGUGAUGGAGGUAGAUAUGUAUAGGGGGAAGGAGACAGGGAUACUGGAGUGAUGGAGGUAGAUGUGUAUAGGGGACAGGGAUACUGGAGUGAUGGAGGUAGAUGUGUAUAGGGGACAGGGAUACUGGAGUGAUGGAGGUAGAUAUGUAUAUGGGUCAGGAGACAGGGAUCCUGGAGUGAUGGAGGUAGAUAUGUAUAGGGGGAAGGGGACAGGGAUACUGGAGAGAUGGAGGUAGAUGUGUAUAGGGGACAGGGAUACUGGAGUGAUGGAGGUAGAUAUGUAUAGGGGGAAGGGAUACUGGAGUGAUGGAGGUAGAUAUGUAUAGGGGGAAGGGGACAGGGAUACUGGAGUGAUGGAGGUAGAUGUGUAUAGGGAACAGGGAUACUGGAGUGAUGGAGGUAGAUAUGUAUAGGGGGAAGGGGACAGGGAUACUGGAGGGAUGGAGGUAGAUAUGUAUAGGGGGAAGGAGACUAUAUACAGGGUCAAUUCCAGUUUAUUUUUGUCACUGGAGGUUGGUGGCACCUUAAAUGGGG